UCCCAAUAAUGGCACAACUAAGCUACAAACCAAGCCAACAGUGACAUCUUCCCCAUCCACAACUGGGAAAGCCACCAAAGUUGUUGCCUGGGACCCGGAGCAGGAUAAAGAU
Molecule: long non-coding RNA, 112 nt
Organism: Gymnodraco acuticeps
Lineage: Eukaryota; Metazoa; Chordata; Actinopteri; Perciformes; Bathydraconidae
Exons: 3
Source: RefSeq, a predicted model, not a curated record